This 57-nucleotide transfer RNA is filed under the name Tyrannodoris europaea. Its description in RNAcentral is "Roboastra europaea tRNA-Ser". Lineage: Eukaryota; Metazoa; Mollusca; Gastropoda; Nudibranchia; Polyceridae. The record is from RNAcentral.
UUUUGUUAUAGUAGAGGUUUUGAAAACCUUUAAAGAGAAAAAAUUUCUCAACAAAAA